GACGAACGCUGGCGGCGGGCUUAACACAUGCAAGUCGAACGGAAAGGCCCUGCGUUUGUGGGGUGCUCGAGGGGCGAACGGGUGAGGAACACGUGAGUAACCGGCCCUUGACUUUGGGAUAACUUCAGGAAACUGGGGCUAAUACCGGAUAGGAGCUCCUGCUGCAUGGUGGGGGGUGGAAAGUUUCGGCGGGUGGGGAUGGACUCGCGGCUUAUCAGCUUGUUGGUGGGGUAGUGGCUUGCCAAGGCUUUGACGGGUAGCCGGCCUGAGAGGGUGACCGGCCACAUUGGGACUGAGAUACGGCCCAGACUCCUAAGAGAGGAAGCAGUGGGGAAUAUUGCACCAUGGGCGGAAGCCUGAUGCAGCAACGCCGCGUGCGGGAUGACGGCCUUCGGGUUGUAAACCGCUUUCGCCUGUGACGCAGCGUGAGUGACGGUAAUGGGUAAAGAAGCCCCGGCUAACUACGUG
RNAcentral lists this ribosomal RNA (468 nucleotides) under uncultured bacterium. RNAcentral describes it as "partial 16S ribosomal RNA". It matches the Rfam family "Bacterial small subunit ribosomal RNA", at positions 28 to 507 of the family's 1533-position model. The record is from RNAcentral.